AUUGAACGCUGGCGGCAGGCCUAACACAUGCAAGUCGAACGGUAACAGGAAGAAGCUUGCUUCUUUGCUGACGAGUGGCGGACGGGUGAGUAAUGUCUGGGAAACUGCCGGAUGGAGGGGGAUAACUACUGGAAACGGUAGCUAAUACCGCAUAACGUCGCAAGACCAAAGAGGGGGACCUUCGGGCCUCUUGCCAUCGGAUUUGCCCAGAUGGGAUUGGCUAGUGGGUGGGGUAACGGUUCACCUAGGCGACAAUCCCUAGCUGGUCUGGGGGGAUGACCAGCCACACUGGAACUGAGACACGGUCCAGACUCCUACGGGAGGCAGCAGUGGGGAAUAUUGCACAAUGGGCGCAAGCCUGAUGCAGCCAUGCCGCGUGUAUGAAGAAGGCCUUCGGGUUGUAAAGUACUUUCAGCGGGGAGGAAGGGAGUAAAGUUAAUACCUUUGCUCAUUGACGUUACCCGCAGAAGAAGCACCGGCUAACUCCGUG
RNAcentral lists this ribosomal RNA (490 nucleotides) under uncultured bacterium. RNAcentral's name for it is "partial 16S ribosomal RNA". It matches the Rfam family "Bacterial small subunit ribosomal RNA", at positions 30 to 507 of the family's 1533-position model. The record is from RNAcentral.